This 804-nucleotide ribosomal RNA is filed under the name Tricholoma pardinum. Its description in RNAcentral is "partial small subunit ribosomal RNA". It matches the Rfam family "Bacterial small subunit ribosomal RNA", at positions 411 to 1043 of the family's 1533-position model. Lineage: Eukaryota; Fungi; Basidiomycota; Agaricomycetes; Agaricales; Tricholomataceae. The record is from RNAcentral.
AAAUCACAUGAGUCAUUAAUUGAUGGUGAUUGUGAUAACAUAAGGGAAAAAAAUGAUGUUACCUUAUUAUUAGUGUUGUCCAAAACUGGUGCCAGAAGACUCGGUAAGACCAGAGACGCAAACGUUAGUCAUCUUAAUCAGGCGUAAAGGGUGUGUAGGCUGCUUUUAAAGUUUAAAUCUUUGUAAUAGCUCUGUUACCGUACUAUUACAUACAAAUUGAAUUAAAAAAGACUAAAUUAUAAAUUAAAAAAAAAUAAAACAGUCAUAUCAAUAAAAUGUAAUAUAUAAAAUUUAUCCACAAAAUAAAUGAUAUAAAUAAAUAAAAUAAAUAAAAUAAAAUAAAUAAAAAAUAUCCGUGUAUCAGUAAAGAAAUAAAUGAAUAAAAGCUAGGAUCAAAUUGAGGAUAAACCAAAUAAUACUUAGAGUAGGGCUUAUAUCCGUAGAUACUAAGGGGAAUACUAAAGGUGAAAGCUUUUUAUCUACUAUUGAUUGACGCUGAGAAACGAAGGUGAGAAUAGGAAAUAGGAUUAGAUACCCAGAUACCUCUCACUGUCAACGAUGAAUGGUGGUUUGUUAGUUUUAAUAAAAACUGGUAACGAUGUUAACACGAUAACCAUUCCGCCUUGCGAGUACGGUUGCAAAACUGAAACCAAAAAAAUUAGUCGGUUUCGAAGCAAACGAAGUGAGCAUGUUAUUUAAUACGAGAGUACUUGCAUAUCCAAUUUUGUUCUUAGAAAUUUCUAAGUUCUUUUUAAUAAGAAAACAGAUUGAGUCAUUUUUAAUCAUUUUAAAAAUUCGUUUACA